This 557-nucleotide non-coding RNA is filed under the name Pan troglodytes (chimpanzee). The record is from RNAcentral. Lineage: Eukaryota; Metazoa; Chordata; Mammalia; Primates; Hominidae.
GGAGAAUCUAAGACUUCUGAAGAGUUUCUUGCUUCUUUCCUGUGGGGCAGUGACUCCACUUCCCAGCAGUAAUGGAAUAUCCUGAAUUAGCUACAUUAAUGUUAGAACCAUUUGGACCUCACCCAGGACUUCAACUACAUUAUGCUAAAGUUACAGAACCCAAAUUUGGCAACUGUCUGCAUCUGAACAACAGAAGUUUCAACAUUCUGCCAACAGAGUAACUCCUGGACGAUUGGCACAGAAGGCACAAGGUUCUAGUAUGUUAGGUUUAUGUUCCCCUGCUUUCUACAAUCCUGUUCAAAGAGUUGCUGACUUAACCACAGAGAGGAUUCCAGAACAUGAGACACAGAAUAAACUUGAGCAAUCAUAGUCCAUCCACUUCAUUUUCUCAUCAAAAACCAAAGGUCCAGUGAAGCUCUGGAACUCAACGCUGUAAAGGAGCGAAGGAGCUUCUAUACAGAGCCUGGAUGCCUGUCUCCUUAUCCUACUUCAGUGGACUUGACUGCAAUCCGGACUAUGCUGUUUUCUAAGCAUUUAAAAUAAAAUAAAAAGUGUAA